UAAUACGUAGGGUGCGAGCGUUAAUCGGAAUUACUGGGCGUAAAGCGUGCGCAGGCGGUGAUGCAAGACAGAUGUGAAAGCCCCGGGCUUAACCUGGGAAUUGCAUUUGUGACUGCAUUGCUAGAGUGCGGCAGAGGGAGAUGGAAUUCCGCGUGUAGCAGUGAAAUGCGUAGAUAUGCGGAGGAACACCGAUGGCGAAGGCAGUCUCCUGGGCCUGCACUGACGCUCAUGCACGAAAGCGUGGGGAGCAAACAGGAUUAGAUACCCUGGUAGUCCACGCCCUAAACGAUGUCAACUAGUUGUUGGGAAGGUUCCUUCUCAGUAACGUAGCUAACGCAUGAAGUUGACCGCCUGGGGAGUACGGCCGCAAGGUUG
RNAcentral lists this ribosomal RNA (375 nucleotides) under uncultured bacterium. Its description in RNAcentral is "bacterial SSU rRNA". It matches the Rfam family "Bacterial small subunit ribosomal RNA", at positions 521 to 896 of the family's 1533-position model. The record is from RNAcentral.